GAUGAACGCUGGCGGCGUGCCUAACACAUGCAAGUCGAGCGAGUUGAUUUCCUUCGGGAAUGAAGCUAGCGGCGGACGGGUGAGUAACACGUGGGCAACCUGCCUCAUAGAGGGGAAUAGCCUCCCGAAAGGGAGAUUAAUACCGCAUAAGAUUGUAGCUUCGCAUGAAGUAGCAAUUAAAGGAGCAAUCCGCUAUGAGAUGGGCCCGCGGCGCAUUAGCUAGUUGGUGAGGUAACGGCUCACCAAGGCGACGAUGCGUAGCCGACCUGAGAGGGUGAUCGGCCACAUUGGGACUGAGACACGGCCCAGACUCCUACGGGAGGCAGCAGUGGGGAAUAUUGCACAAUGGGGGAAACCCUGAUGCAGCAACGCCGCGUGAGUGAUGACGGCCUUCGGGUUGUAAAGCUCUGUCUUCAGGGACGAUAAUGACGGUACCUGAGGAGGAAGCCACGGCUAACUACGUGCCAGCCGCCGCCGUAA
This 480-nucleotide ribosomal RNA is filed under the name uncultured bacterium. RNAcentral's name for it is "partial 16S ribosomal RNA". It matches the Rfam family "Bacterial small subunit ribosomal RNA", at positions 28 to 523 of the family's 1533-position model. The record is from RNAcentral.